GCACAAGCGGUGGAGCAUGUGGUUAAUUCGAAGCAACGCGAAGAACCUUACCAGGCCUUGACAUGCAGAGAACUUUCCAGAGAUGGAUUGGUGCCUUCGGGAACUCUGACACAGGUGCUGCAUGGCCGUCGUCAGCUCGUGUCGUGAGAUGUUAGGUUAAGUCCCGUAACGAGCGCAACCCUUGUCCUUAGUUACCAGCACGUUAUGGUGGGCACUCUAAGGAGACUGCCGGUGACAAACCGGAGGAAGGUGGGGAUGACGUCAAGUCAUCAUGGCCCUUACGGCCUGGGCUACACACGUGCUACAAUGGUCGGUACAAAGGGUUGCCAAGCCGCGAGGUGGAGCUAAUCCCAUAAAACCGAUCGUAGUCCGGAUCGCAGUCUGCAACUCGACUGCGUGAAGUCGGAAUCGCUAGUAAUCGUGAAUCAGAAUGUCACGGUGAAUACGUUCCCGGGCCUU
This 459-nucleotide ribosomal RNA is filed under the name uncultured Pseudomonas sp. Its description in RNAcentral is "bacterial SSU rRNA". It matches the Rfam family "Bacterial small subunit ribosomal RNA", at positions 923 to 1382 of the family's 1533-position model. Lineage: Bacteria; Pseudomonadati; Pseudomonadota; Gammaproteobacteria; Pseudomonadales; Pseudomonadaceae. The record is from RNAcentral.